This 383-nucleotide ribosomal RNA is filed under the name uncultured bacterium. RNAcentral's name for it is "bacterial SSU rRNA". It matches the Rfam family "Bacterial small subunit ribosomal RNA", at positions 28 to 409 of the family's 1533-position model. The record is from RNAcentral.
GACGAACGCUGGCGGCGUGCCUAACACAUGCAAGUCGAACGAGGUCCAUCCUUCGGGAGAAGACCUAGUGGCGAACGGGUGAGUAACACGUGAGGAACCUGCCCCGAAGACCGGGAUAACCCUCCGAAAGGAGAGCUAAUACCGGAUACCCCCACCGAACCGCAUGGUUUGGUUGAGGAAAUAGGAUUCCGCUUCGGGAGGGCCUCGCGGCCUAUCAGCUAGUUGGUGGGGUAACGGCCCACCAAGGCAUCGACGGGUAGCUGGUCUGAGAGGACGAUCAGCCACACUGGGACUGAGACACGGCCCAGACUCCUACGGGAGGCAGCAGUGGGGAAUCUUGCGCAAUGGGCGAAAGCCUGACGCAGCAACGCCGCGUGGGGGAU